This is a long non-coding RNA of Vicia villosa (hairy vetch), 1054 nucleotides long. RefSeq lists it as uncharacterized. The record is from RefSeq and is a predicted model, not a curated record. Lineage: Eukaryota; Viridiplantae; Streptophyta; Magnoliopsida; Fabales; Fabaceae. The transcript is spliced from 7 exons.
CUGUUUCUCACCCUAAAUCGAAAACGUUCUUCACGCUGAAAUCGAAAGUGUUCUUCACCCCGAAAUCGAGAAUCGUUCUUCACACUGAAAUCGAGAAUCGUUCUUCACCCUCAAAUUGAAAAUGUUCAAUCGUUCACACAAAUGGUUGGCAAAAAUAGUUCUAUCACUGUGAGAUUCCUUUUUCAUCUUUCAUUCACUGUAUAGAGUAUGUUGGGGAUUUAGAACCAAAAACUGAUCUGAGUUUCAUAUCUUCAAGUUCAGCAUUGAUUUCAAAAUAAGGACCAUUGAGCUUGAUGGAAAGCGAAUCAAAUUGCAAAUAUGGGAUACAGCCGGUCAAGAGCGUUUCCGAACUAUCACAACGGUGGCACUGAGGAAGAAGUGUGGGCUACUGGAGUCUGGAACUGAGUGCAGUCACAUGCAAACAGAACAAACAACAAAAAAUAUAAACUCUGCAACUCAUUGGAUUGACCAGGAACUCCGAUAAAGGUGGCUUCUAAGCUGCUGAUGUCUUCUUAUGAAAGAACAAGAAGAUAUAUGCUGGUGCACUCGGUGUAGAAACUUCUCUUUGGGUGUUUUUUGAGCUGCUUGAGUAUCACUUUCUUACUCUCAUUUGUCACAGUUCGAUUCUGGUUCUUGCACUAUUGUUCUUGUGGUCCAAUGCUCAUACAUUUAUUCACAAAGGAAGUGGUAGCAUUAGGAGAAAGUGUGGGCUAUCAUCUCAUAAUUGUUGGGAUGGGUCAGUUUCCAUCGAAUAUGCUGACGAGAUUAGCAGAGAGGACAGCAGAGCAUCCAGAGUUAGGUCCCAUUGGAGACAUUCUUACUUCUUCAACAAGAGGUCAUAGGAUGGUGUCAUCGGUAUUGAUUAUACAGCAGCGUGAUGUGACAAUAUCUGAGGAUGCGCCAAUCUACAAGAGCCUCACUAAUGACUAGGAAGAACACUUGGUUGUCAAGCAUUUCUCUUUAUUGUAAAAUUUUAAGGAUAUAAUAUUUUUGAAGUUGUAUUGUAAAAUUUUAAAUAUAUAAUUUUUUUUAUGUAGUUCUAAUUUUCAUAAUA